CAGUCGCCGCGGUAAUACGAAGGGGGCUAGCGUUGCUCGGAAUUACUGGGCGUAAAGGGAGCGUAGGCGGAUCGUUUAGUCAGGGGUGAAAUCCCGGGGCUCAACCUCGGAACUGCCUUUGAUACUGGCGAUCUUGAGUAUGGGAGAGGUGUGUGGAACUCCGAGUGUAGAGGUGAAAUUCGUAGAUAUUCGGAAGAACACCAGUGGCGAAGGCGACACACUGGCCCAUUACUGACGCUGAGGCUCGAAAGCGUGGGGAGCAAACAGGAUUAGAUACCCGUGUAGUCCCUGUCUCUUAUAC
RNAcentral lists this ribosomal RNA (301 nucleotides) under uncultured bacterium. RNAcentral describes it as "partial 16S ribosomal RNA". It matches the Rfam family "Bacterial small subunit ribosomal RNA", at positions 509 to 807 of the family's 1533-position model. The record is from RNAcentral.